GACGAACGCUGGCGGCGUGCUUAACACAUGCAAGUCGAACGGAAAGGCCCUGCUUUUGUGGGGUGCUCGAGUGGCGAACGGGUGAGUAACACGUGAGUAACCUGCCCUUGACUUUGGGAUAACUUCAGGAAACUGGGGCUAAUACCGGAUAGGAGCUCCUGCUGCAUGGUGGGGGUUGGAAAGUUUCGGCGGUUGGGGAUGGACUCGCGGCUUAUCAGCUUGUUGGUGGGGUAGUGGCUUACCAAGGCUUUGACGGGUAGCCGGCCUGAGAGGGUGACCGGCCACAUUGGGACUGAGAUACGGCCCAGACUCCUACGGGAGGCAGCAGUGGGGAAUAUUGCACAAUGGGCGGAAGCCUGAUGCAGCAACGCCGCGUGCGGGAUGACGGCCUUCGGGUUGUAAACCGCUUUCGCCUGUGACGAAGCGUGAGUGACGGUAAUGGGUAAAGAAGCACCGGCUAACUACGUGCCAGCAGCCGCGGUGAUACGUAGGGUGCGAGCGUUGUCCGGAUUUAUUGGGCGUAAAGGGCUCGUAGGUGGUUGAUCGCGUCGGAAGUGUAAUCUUGGGGCUUAACCCUGAGCGUGCUUUCGAUACGGGUUGACUUGAGGAAGGUAGGGGAGAAUGGAAUUCCUGGUGGAGCGGUGGAAUGCGCAGAUAUCAGGAGGAACACCAGUGGCGAAGGCGGUUCUCUGGGCCUUUCCUGACGCUGAGGAGCGAAAGCGUGGGGAGCGAACAGGCUUAGAUACCCUGGUAGUCCACGCUGUAAACGGUGGGUACUAGGUGUGGGGUCCAUUCCACGGGUUCCGUGCCGUAGCUAACGCUUUAAGUACCCCGCCUGGGGAGUACGGCCGCAAGGCUAAAACUCAAAGGAAUUGACGGGGCCCCGCACGAGCGGCGGAGCAUGCGGAUUAAUUCGAUGCAACGCGUAGAACCUUACCUGGGUUUGACAUGGAUCGGGAGUGCUCAGAGAUGGGUGUGCCUCUUUUGGGGUCGGUUCACAGGUGGUGCAUGGCUGUCGUCAGCUCGUGUCGUGAGAUGUUGGGUUAAGUCCCGCAACGAGCGCAACCCUUGUUCACUGUUGCCAGCACGUUAUGGUGGGGACUCAGUGGAGACCGCCGGGGUCAACUCGGAGGAAGGUGGGGAUGACGUCAAGUCAUCAUGCCCCUUAUGUCCAGGGCUUCACGCAUGCUACAAUGGCUGGUACAGAGAGUGGCGAGCCUGUGAGGGUGAGCGAAUCUCGGAAAGCCGGUCUCAGUUCGGAUUGGGGUCUGCAACUCGACCUCAUGAAGUCGGAGUCGCUAGUAAUCGCAGAUCAGCAACGCUGCGGUGAAUACGUUCCCGGG
RNAcentral lists this ribosomal RNA (1343 nucleotides) under uncultured bacterium. RNAcentral's name for it is "16S ribosomal RNA". It matches the Rfam family "Bacterial small subunit ribosomal RNA", at positions 28 to 1378 of the family's 1533-position model. The record is from RNAcentral.